Molecule: unclassified non-coding RNA, 1372 nt
Filed under: uncultured Neocallimastigales
Lineage: Eukaryota; Fungi; Neocallimastigomycota; Neocallimastigomycetes; Neocallimastigales
Description: partial contains small subunit ribosomal RNA, internal transcribed spacer 1, 5.8S ribosomal RNA, internal transcribed spacer 2, and large subunit ribosomal RNA
Rfam family: Eukaryotic large subunit ribosomal RNA (bases 616-1372)
Source: RNAcentral
UUUCCGUAGGUGAACCUGCGGAAGGAUCAUUAAAAAAUAUCACAUUUGUUUGUGAUUUAAUAAUCAUCCUACCCUUUGUGAAUUUGUUUUUGUUUGAAAUUUAUGUUGUCUAUCCCUGGAUUAUGAAAGAAAAGUUGUAAAAGACUUUUUUUUCAUUCUAGGGAAUAGGCUUUCAUAGACAUUUUUUUAAAUUAAACUUUUUGUAUUCAUUUGUCUAAAAUUUAUUUUUAAAUAAUUUAAAAACAACUUUUGACAAUGGAUCUCUUGGUUCUCGCAACGAUGAAGAACGCAGCAAAAUGCGAUAAGUAAUGUGAAUUGCAGAAUACGUGAAUCAUCAAAUUUUCGAACGCAUAUUGCACUUUUUUAGUUUACUAAAAAAGUAUGUCUGUUUGAGUAUCAGUAAAAUAUUCUCAUAAAAACUAUUGUUUUUAUGGUUAUGAGUGUUUUACAACGAUAACAAGUUGUUUCACUUUAAAUUGAUUUUUUUAAUAAGCCAAUUUGGUUUUAUUUUUAAAAUUGGAUAAAAUUUUCCCGUAAAAAGGAAUAAACUUUUCAGUUUUAAAGUUAAAACUUAAAUUGACCUACAAAAAAGGAAAUUUAAUUAUAAAACUAACUUGAUCUCAAAUCAGAUAAGAGUACCCGCUGAACUUAAGCAUAUCAAUAAGCGGAGGAAAAGAAACUAACAAGGAUUCCCUUAGUAACGGCGAGUGAAGCGGGAAGAGCUCAAAUUUGAAAUCUUCAAGGUUCUACCUUGGCGAAUUGUAGUUUAAAGAAGUGUUUUCUGUUAGUGGAGCGGCAAAAGUUCUUUGGAAUAGGACAUCAUAGAGGGUGAGAAUCCCGUAUUUGGUCAUUCCUUCUAGCUUUGUGAUACACUUUCAAAGAGUCGGAUUGUUUGGGAAUGCAGUCCAAAAUGGGUGGUAAAUUUCAUCUAAAGCUAAAUAUUGGCGAGAGACCGAUAGCGACAAGUACCGUGAGGGAAAGAUGAAAAGAACUUUGAAAAGAGAGUUAAACAGUACGUGAAAUUGUCAAAAGGGAAGCGUUUGACACCAGUGUUGUUUUUCCGAAAAUCAAUUAUAAAUGUUUUGUUUCUGAGGAGUGAUGACUUCAUCGGCUUCCUUCUCUCUUCACGAAACUUUUGUAAUGCACUUUUCGGUUAACAAGUCAACAUCAAUUUCUUUUGUUGUAAAAGAGUACUCGGAAGGUGACUUUCUUUUCGGAGAAAGUGUUUAUAGCCCUUUACUUCUACAAUCGGAGAGAUUGAGGUCUGCAGCGUAGAUCCUUCGGGGUUAGAUACACUUGUGCUAAGUUAUAGCUUUUCAUAGACAACUUGUUGACUAUGUUUAGUCUUGUAGCUUACUCGCUUGUGCUAUUU